RNAcentral lists this unclassified non-coding RNA (300 nucleotides) under uncultured Sebacinales. Its description in RNAcentral is "sequence contains ITS2". The record is from RNAcentral. Lineage: Eukaryota; Fungi; Basidiomycota; Agaricomycetes; Sebacinales.
AACGCACCUUGCACCCUUUGGUAUUCCGAAGGGUACACCCGUUUGAGUGUCAUUGUAAUCUCACUACGACCACUUUAUUGUUGGUUUGUAUGUGGACUUGGAUGUUGCCGUGUAACAAACGGCUCGUCUGAAAUGCCUGAGUGUACCCUGCUUUUGCGGCGUAUUCGGUGUGAUAAAUCUUCACCGGAGUUGACUUUCGGGUCGCGCUUGUAUUGUCAGGCUCUAUGCUUCCAACCGUCCUAACAAGACAAUCUUUGACAAUUUGACCUCAAAUCGGGUGGGACUACCCGCUGAACUUAA